This 24-nucleotide non-coding RNA is filed under the name Arabidopsis thaliana (thale cress). Lineage: Eukaryota; Viridiplantae; Streptophyta; Magnoliopsida; Brassicales; Brassicaceae. The record is from RNAcentral.
UUGUGUCACUUUUUACACUGGUCC